Molecule: small RNA, 499 nt
Filed under: Pan troglodytes (chimpanzee)
Lineage: Eukaryota; Metazoa; Chordata; Mammalia; Primates; Hominidae
Description: retained intron
Source: RNAcentral
CUCUUCGCCCCGGCGCCGGGGGCCAGCGCUUGCGCUCGCAAGUCUCGGACUCCGGCCCGGCACGUUAGGGGUUGGGGGUUGGCAAGCGGGGCCAGAGUCACUGGCCGGGGUCCGAAGCGCACGUCGUCCUUCUCUCGUCCCACAACGGCCCCUUCCCGGCUCGCCGCGGGGCCCCACUGUGUGCCAGUCCCCCUUCUCGGGCUGCAAGGCACCCACCCACGGCCCUUCCUGGUAUCUGGACCAGACCAGGUGGGUCUCAGCCCCACCUCAAGUGAGACUUCAGGAAGAACUUCCAGAGGAAACUGGAGGAUGGCAGUGGGAUGGACUGUGGGGAGGUCAUUUGCAAACAAGGCAGCUAUGCCUGUGCCCUGGGCCUUCCAAAGUCCACCUGUAGGCUGCAUCUUCCGGAAGGCCCACCCUGUAGCCUGGAAGGCACCUGGCUACAGUGAUCUCUCUGCUGUGCAGGUGUCCCCUCCCCCAGGGCACCUUGCAGGGCCUA